AGUCUUGCUUCGAAUUUCGACGAGUACGCAUCGCAGUUCUCAUUGUACGCAUUCUCCGCAAGUAAUAGAGAAGAGAUUCAAAUUGGGAGUAGGGAUACUUGGCCUCGUGAGACGACAACAAAGUUAGACCUUUGACCGACUAUUACAGUUACUAGUUCAGUUGUGUUUUGGACUUCGACGAGAGAACUUAGAAAUUUUCUCUGGAUGCCUUUUCUACAAGUUUAAACGAAGAGUUAAAAACCUCGUUGCAAUCGCGCGCGUAGCAAUGAAGUAAUCGAGUGUUUGUACCGCUAAAAUAAAAAUAUCGCGAAGUAGAAGCAGUGUUUGUACGUUUGCGGUUCGCGAUUUAAACUAUAAGUGUUUUUGCAUAGACUGCGUGCAAUGCAGUCUUUAGAGUCAGUGUUUGUCCGCGUAGUUUUUUGAUUUUUUAACAGUUGCACAGACUGUACUUGUAAAAUACAGUAGAGUUGCGUUAAGUAAAUUCAGUGACCGUUCGUUAAUAAGUAACUACCGCGAAUUAGAGUCAGUGCAUCACUGAAGAGGAUCUCGACCAACUUCGAUGUCGACCUACCUCAUUUUCAACCAACUACAAAUCAUCCACCCUCAAUUUCGACCUAAAUCGCGGUGCAGUGUUUUGGAGCCAUCGCAGAACUUCUUAAGUAGUGAGUUAAUUUUUAAGUUCCUCCGAUCACUCAAUCAUGUCGAGGACGAAAGGUCCGAAUCGGCACGAGUGAUUGGUUGUAAUUAAUUAGUA
Long non-coding RNA from Vespula pensylvanica (western yellowjacket), 754 nucleotides. RefSeq lists it as uncharacterized. Lineage: Eukaryota; Metazoa; Arthropoda; Insecta; Hymenoptera; Vespidae. The record is from RefSeq and is a predicted model, not a curated record. The transcript has 3 exons.